UUAUGCUGAUAAGAGCGUAUGGUGGAUGCCUUGGCACUAAGAGCCGAUGAAAGACGUGAUAAGCUGCGAAAAGCUUCGGGGAGGAGCAAAUAUCCUUUGAUCCGGAGAUCUCUGAAUGGGGAAACCUACUUGAGUGCACCUCAAGUGACGUAUGGUGAAUACAUAGCCAUACGCCGGGAACCCGGUGAACUGAAACAUCUAAGUAGCCGGAGGAAGAGAAAACAACAAGUGAUUCCGUAAGUAGCGGCGAGCGAACGCGGAAGAGCCCAAACCGGAGUGCGUGCACUCCGGGGUUCGGACUGCAGGAUUGACGAGUGAGCCUAGUAGAAUGGUUUUGGGAAAGCCAGCCAGAGAGGGUGAAAGCCCCGUACACGAAAGGCAAGCGAGCAUGGCAGGAUCCAGAGUACCACGAGACACGUGAAACCUUGUGGGAAUGAGCGGGGACCACCCCGUAAGGCUAAAUACUCCUUAGUGACCGAUAGCGCAUAGUACUGUGAAGGAAAGGUGAAAAGGACCCCGGGAGGGGAGUGAAAGAGAACCUGAAACCCUGUGUUUACAAGCUGUGGAAGCACGUUAAGGUGCGACCGCGUACUUUUUGUAGAACGGUCCGGCGAGUUACGCUUACUGGCGAGGUUAAGCACUUCAGGUGUGGAGCCGUAGGGAAACCAAGUCUUAAGAGGGCCUUAAGUCAGUAGGAGUAGACCCGAAACCGGGUGAUCUAUCCAUGUCCAGGUUGAAGCUGCCGUAAGAGGUAGUGGAGGACCGAACCCACAUCCGUUGAAAAGGGUGGGGAUGAGGUGUGGAUAGGGGAGAAAUUCCAAUCGAACCCGGAGAUAGCUGGUUCUCCUCGAAAUAGCUUUAGGGCUAGCCUCGUAUUAGUUUAGCGGAGGUAGAGCACUGAAUUCCUAAGGGGGCGUCAAAGCUUACCAAGGGAUAUCAAACUCCGAAUGCCGCAUAAAUGAUGUACGGGAGUCAGACUGCACGAGAUAAGUUGGGUAGUCAAAAGGGAAAGAGCCCAGACCUACAGCUAAGGUCCCAAAGUGUGUGUUAAGUGGAAAAGGAUGUGGGAUUUCGAAGACAACUAGGAUGUUGGCUCAGAAGCAGCCACACAUUCAAAGAGUGCGUAAUAGCUCACUAGUCGAGAGGUCCUGCGCCGAAAAUGUCCGGGGCUAAAACACAACACCGAAGCUUAGGAAUGUAAUUAUACAUUGGUAGAGGAGCAUUCUUAAAGAGACGAAGCAGUACCGAUAAGGAGCUGUGGAUUUUUAAGAAGAGAGAAUGCCGGAAUGAGUAGCGAGAUGGAGGUGGGAAUCCUCCAGGCCGAAUAUCUAAGGUUUCCAGAGUAAAGCUGAUCUGCUCUGGGUAAGUCGGGGCCUAAGGCGAGGUCGAAAGACGUAGUCGAUGGAUAACAGGUAAAGAUUCCUGUACUAUAUCAUAACAGAACUGUGGGGACGCAGACAGAGAGCAUAAGCCGGGAAUGGAAAGACCGGUACAAGCGAGGUAGGAGUGCAUCAGGCAAAUCCGGUGCACAAUCUGAAGACGUGAUGUGGGGCGUAAAGCCGGAAGUAUGUGAGCUGGCUGCCAAGAAAAGCCGCUAUUGUUUACAGGAUACCCGUACCGUAAACCGACACAGGUGGAUGAGGAGAGAAUCCUAAGGCCGGCGGGAGAAGCAUUGUUAAGGAACUCGGCAAAAUGACCCUGUAACUUCGGGAUAAAGGGUGCCCACGAGAGUGGGCCGCAGAGAAUAGGCUCAAGCAACUGUUUAGCAAAAACACAGGUCUAUGCAAAACCGAAAGGUGAGGUAUAUGGGCUGACGCCUGCCCGGUGCUGGAAGGUUAAGAGGAGAGGUUAGCGGUAACGCGAAGCUUUGAAUUUAAGCCCCAGUAAACGGCGGCCGUAACUAUAACGGUCCUAAGGUAGCGAAAUUCCUUGUCGGGUAAGUUCCGACCCGCACGAAAGGCGUAAUGAUUUGAGCGCUGUCUCGACAAUGCACCCGGUGAAAUUGAAAUACCAGUGAAGAUGCUGGUUACCUGCGCCAGGACGGAAAGACCCCAUGGAGCUUUACUCCAGCUUGAUACUGGGAUUCGAUAUUGCAUGUACAGGAUAGGUGGGAGACUGAGAACUGAUGACGCCAGUUGUCAGGGAGUCACUGUUGGGAUACCACCCUUGUAGUAUUGGAUUUCUAACCAGCAGCCGUGAACCGGCUGGGGGACAAUGUCAGGUGGGGAGUUUGACUGGGGCGGUCGCCUCCGAAAGGGUAUCGGAGGCGCUCAAAGGUUCCCUCAGAAUGGUCGGAAACCAUUCGAAGAGUGCAAAGGCAGAAGGGAGCUUGACUGCGACACCGACGGGUGGAGCAGGUACGAAAGUAGGACUUAGUGAUCCGGUGGUAUAAAGUGGGAUUGCCAUCGCUCAACGGAUAAAAGCUACCCUGGGGAUAACAGGCUUAUCACUCCCAAGAGUUCACAUCGACGGAGUGGUUUGGCACCUCGAUGUCGGCUCAUCGCAUCCUGGGGCUGUAGCAGGU
Molecule: ribosomal RNA, 2524 nt
Filed under: human gut metagenome
Description: bacterial LSU rRNA
Rfam family: Bacterial large subunit ribosomal RNA
Source: RNAcentral